Xenopus laevis (African clawed frog) is the source of this 1514-nucleotide long non-coding RNA. RefSeq lists it as uncharacterized. The transcript is spliced from 3 exons. Lineage: Eukaryota; Metazoa; Chordata; Amphibia; Anura; Pipidae. The record is from RefSeq and is a predicted model, not a curated record.
GGACCCCCUUCCAUUGAGGUGCAAACCGUCACGGCUGUAUAGGUAAUGAUAAUGCUCUUGUUAAAAUGCUUGUUAAAGCAGCAUCAACACUAUUACUGAUUGUUGGAUAUGUACACAUUCUCCUUUGUCAGCUGACAGUAUGACAUACAUAGCAGAAUCUCUAUCCUGUCAGGACAUAGUUAACAGUCCUUGAGGUAAUUUGACACCUCUCCAGUAUAACACUACACUUAUUCCAAUGGCCAUCUCAGGAUUCUGUGAAGCACCAGUAGUGUAUUUUCAUAAAACGGUGGCGCCCAAGGAUAUUGGUAAGUUGGUACACUUAUGUUCCGAUGGCCUUUGUAUCAACAGUUCAGCUAAUCAUCAUUUGUUGCUGUUGUUCUUGCUGUAACUCCUUAUUUUCUCACUCUUUUCUAAAGGCAAAUUCUUCUAGGCCUGUUCUGUUCUAUCCUAAGAACGCUAAAAGUCUGAAAUGACUUAAAUGAACCACCACAGUGUAUGAACAUUAUAUACCAGAUGUAUUCUCAUAUAGGUUGUAUGCAUAGCAUUUAUAAGGAAAAGUCUUGCAGGCCCUGCUUGGCCCCCUUAAUGGAGUGAACAGUUUCUGAGUGCCCAUGAGGCCCUUCUAGAAACUGUUCAAGGUUAUGUGUAACAUCUGUCGAGAAGGUUCUUAUCACUAUUCUGUUAUAUUUUGUAUUCCUGUAACAAUGUGUUCUGACCUUGAAGCACACACACACAGUGGUAUUCCCUAUUUCCUGGUGAUUGGGUGUUAGUCAAAGAAUUCCCAACAAAACACUCCCUGGAACCAACUUUUAAAAUAGAGUAGCACUUGGCAUGAUACUGGCUGAAAAGGGGGGUGUCUGUAAAAUGCUUGCCAACAAAAGCACCUGUUGCACAUAUAUCCCCGAUAAUACUGGUCCAAACAGCAAAGUAAUUAAUCUGUUCAUUAAGUUAAAGAAAAAUUCUGGAAUCACACAUCCUUGGGAUGAAUAUUUUGGAUGGAUGACAGGUUGGCAAAAGGUCUUAGCCCAGAUCAGUGUUACCUUAUUGAUUGUUUUGAUUUUUAUUUCAUUUAUUUUCUGCUGUGUAAUCCCUUACAUUAGGAAGUUGCUUUGUUCACUUAUUGCUUCUUCAGAAGGUUCACAACUCAAACUUAUUCAUGCUGCUCGUGUGUAGUCACUUGCGUGACUAAAGGGGGGAACUGAAAGGGUUAACUUCUAUCCUUGAAACUUCUGUCCUUGCUCAAACUUCUUUGUGCAAAACAUGCUUAUAUGGCACGUACUCCCCAGCUGGCCUGAGCAGCCCCCAAUGCCCUUGGGCGAAUAUGUUUCUUAUCUCUUCUUAUCACGCAUACCAGCACACCCCACUCUCACAACUUCUACAAUGUUUCUUUCUGCAGACACACAGAAUAAUACUUCUCAUUUUCCCUUAGGCUAAGGCAUACCUUUUGUAACACGUCAUAUUGGCUAUAUAAGCAACUGCUGUAACCCUAAUAAAUCGGAACUUGCUUUGCAACA